RNAcentral lists this ribosomal RNA (1522 nucleotides) under Mesalina olivieri. RNAcentral's name for it is "partial large subunit ribosomal RNA". It matches the Rfam family "Bacterial large subunit ribosomal RNA". The record is from RNAcentral. Lineage: Eukaryota; Metazoa; Chordata; Lepidosauria; Squamata; Lacertidae.
ACUUAAACUUAAAGGCUAAAUAACACCACAAACCCCAUUUCCUCACCCAACCAAACCAUUUGAAUUUAGUCAGUAUUUGUGAUAAAACACUACCCCAGCCCAAUUAGUACCGCAAGGGAAAAAUGAAAGAACAAUGAAAUACUUAAGUAUUUUAAAGCAAAGAUUCAUCCUUGUACCUCCUGCAUCAUGAUUUAGCAAAACACAUUCAGACAAAGCGAACUUAGCCUGACAACCCGAAACCAAACGAGCUAUUUUUGACCAGCUUUCACCAGAGCAAACCCGUCUCUGUAGCAAAAGAGUGGGAAGAGUCGAAAAUAGAGGCAAAAAACCUAUCGAGCUUGGUGAUAGCUGGUUACUCACAAAAGAAUUUUAGUUCAACCUUGAGUACUAAAGAGCACCUAAACUCUGAACUUAUAGACUCAAGCAAAAUUGAAGGGGGUACAGCCCCUUCAACCCGGGAUACAGCCCGUACAGAGAGAAAACCUCAAACUUAUUAAUAGUAGGCCUCAAAGCAGCCACCCAUAACCGCGUUCCAGCCCACCCUUAAACCAAUCCCUACAAACUCCACCUUCUCCUGAAUUUUCCUGAGUUAUUUUAUAAAAUUAUAAAAACACUAAUGCUAGAACUAGUAAUAAGAAAGACUCUCUCCGCAUACCCUUAAAUCAGCACAGAAAAACUACUGAUAGUUAACAGCAUUAACCCUAACAAUAACCCACAAGACCCUUUGUUACACAAUCUGUUACCCCAACAUAGGAAUGCAAAAAAGAAAGGUUAAAAAUUACAAAAGGAACUCGGCAAAAACACAAUCCCAACUGUUUACCAAAAACAUAGCCUUUAGCCCAACAAGUAUUAAAGGUCCAGCCUGCCCAGUGACCCGUUCAACGGCCGCGGUAUCCUAACCGUGCAAAGGUAGCAUAAUCACUUGUCCCCUAAAUAGGGACUAGUAUGAACGGCUAAAUGAGGAUUAAACUGUCUCUUGUAAUUAACCUAUGAAACUGAUCUUGUAGUCCAAAAGCUACAAUACAAACACCAGACGAGAAGACCCUGUGGAGCUUUUAAACCAAAGCCAAAUAAAUGCCCCUUGGUUUUUAGUUGGGGCAACUUCGGAGCACAAACAAACCUCCGACAAACCACAAGUCGAGACAAACAAGUCAAUACUUAUACCUGACCCAAUAGUCUGACCUAAACUAUUUGACCAAUGAACCAAGUUACCCCAGGGAUAACAGCGCUAUCCUCUUUUAGAGUCCCUAUCGACAAGAGGGCUUACGACCUCGAUGUUGGAUCAGGACACCCCAAUAAUGCAGCCGUUAUUAAAGGUUCGUUUGUUCAACGAUUAAUAGUCCUACGUGAUCUGAGUUCAGACCGGAGAAAUCCAGGUCGGUUUCUAUCUGUGUUAGUACCACCCCUAGUACGAAAGGACCGGGGUGGUAGGACCAAUGCCAACAGUAUGUCUUACAGAACAACCCUUGAUCAUAACUAAAAUGGCUAAUUCUCCUAAUAUUAUAACCAUAGACUAAGGUUU